RNAcentral lists this ribosomal RNA (428 nucleotides) under Chloroflexota bacterium. Its description in RNAcentral is "Chloroflexi bacterium partial 16S ribosomal RNA". It matches the Rfam family "Bacterial small subunit ribosomal RNA", at positions 355 to 776 of the family's 1533-position model. The record is from RNAcentral. Lineage: Bacteria; Bacillati; Chloroflexota.
UGGGGAAUAUUGCACAAUGGGCGCAAGCCUGAUGCAGCCAUGCCGCGUGUGUGAAGAAGGCCUUCGGGUUGUAAAGCACUUUCAGCGGGGAGGAAGGCGAUAAGGUUAAUAACCUUGUCGAUUGACGUUACCCGCAGAAGAAGCACCGGCUAACUCCGUGCCAGCAGCCGCGGUAAUACGGAGGGUGCAAGCGUUAAUCGGAAUUACUGGGCGUAAAGCGCACGCAGGCGGUCUGUCAAGUCGGAUGUGAAAUCCCCGGGCUCAACCUGGGAACUGCAUUCGAAACUGGCAGGCUAGAGUCUUGUAGAGGGGGGUAGAAUUCCAGGUGUAGCGGUGAAAUGCGUAGAGAUCUGGGGGAAUACCGGUGGCGAGGCGGCCCCCUGGACAAAGACUGACGCUCAGGUGCGAAGGCGUGGGGAGCAAACAGG